UAAUAGUCUUCAUUUCAUUAACUCUGAG
This 28-nucleotide non-coding RNA is filed under the name Mus musculus (house mouse). The record is from RNAcentral. Lineage: Eukaryota; Metazoa; Chordata; Mammalia; Rodentia; Muridae.